Molecule: long non-coding RNA, 722 nt
Filed under: Manihot esculenta (cassava)
Lineage: Eukaryota; Viridiplantae; Streptophyta; Magnoliopsida; Malpighiales; Euphorbiaceae
Description: long non-coding RNA (MESC_LNC000311)
Source: RNAcentral
GGUCUAAUCCUUUACAUGAUCACUCUUUUCAUAAAACUUUAUACCUUUAAAUGCCCCAGGCUUACCCCGAGGGACUGUGAUUAAAAACUCUUCUUUCAUUUUUUCCAAGCUCAACGCAUGCAUGCUCUUAUUUAUUAAGCUUGGCCAUAAAAUCCUCUGUAAGACAUUUCAUUCUUCCUUAAAACAUCUUUUCUCUUUAAACUUACUCGUUCUUGAAAACAUUUCAUACAUCAUGAAAACAUAUUCUUUCUUAAAACUCAUUGAUCAUGUACCCCUUAUAGGAUUAGCCAACCAUAGACAUAAUAUCACUCUACACAUUAGGCAUAGCACAUCUCUAAACCAUAUUUCAUAUACUCUUCAUAGCUUUACUUUAUCUCUUUACAUUCAUACAUCUCAUGUCCCUACAUUCUCAUGUCCACAACUAUACUAUACAUGCAUACAUACAUAACAUAUCCUCACUUACAUUACCCUUACAUAACCAUCUAUUCCAUUACAUCUCAAACAUAACUCUUCAUUACUUUAGUCUCUACCAUCUUUAACUUCUCAUAGCUCCUUCCUAUUAUCCAUCACUAUAACUGGCCCUGCAAAAAUGGGAAUAGGGGAGAGGGAUGAGCUUCUAAAGCCCAAUGAGCGGAAACCAUGAAAACAGUUCAUAAAAACAUAUGCUCUCAUGCUAUGCAUCACAUCACAACAAUACACAUCAAGGAAGAAGUUGUCACCUA